AGUCUUAUAUUCAAUUAUGAUCUCAGAUUGCAAAUUUGAUGGUGAGUCUACUCUAAGGCUU
RNAcentral lists this transfer RNA (61 nucleotides) under Geisha distinctissima. Its description in RNAcentral is "tRNA-Cys". Lineage: Eukaryota; Metazoa; Arthropoda; Insecta; Hemiptera; Flatidae. The record is from RNAcentral.